ACUCAAAUGAAUUGACGGGGACCCACACAAGCAGUGGAUCAUGUGGUUUAAUUCGACAAUAAACGAGGAACCUUACCCAGGCUUGACAUCCUAGGAAUCCAGCGGAAACGUUGGAGUGCCCGCAAGGGAACCUAGAGACAGGUGCUGCAUGGUUGUCGUCAGCUCGUGCCUUGAGGUGUUCGGUUAAGUCCGUUAACGAGCGCAACCCAUGUCGUUAGUUACUAUGUCUAACGAGACUGCCCGAGUUAAUCGGGAGGAAGGUGUGGAUGACGUCAAAUCAGCAUGGCCCUUAUGCCUGGGGCUACACACAUGAUACAAUGGUCGGUACAAUGAGCAGCGAUGGAGUAAUCCGGAGCAAAUCUCAUCAAAGCCGAUCUCAGUCCAGAUUGAGGUCUGCAACUCGACCUCAUGAAGUUGGAAUUGCUAGUAAUCGUGAAUCAGCUAUGUCACGGUGAAUAUGUUCCUGGGUCUUGUACACACCGCCCGU
This 487-nucleotide ribosomal RNA is filed under the name uncultured bacterium. RNAcentral's name for it is "partial 16S ribosomal RNA". It matches the Rfam family "Bacterial small subunit ribosomal RNA", at positions 899 to 1397 of the family's 1533-position model. The record is from RNAcentral.